GGGAAACAACCCUAACCAUCAUCUAAGGCCCCCAAGUAACGGCUAAGUGGGAAACGAUGUGGGAUUGCUUUGACAAUCAGGAGGUUGGCUUAGAAGCAGCCAUCCUUUAAAGAAAGCGUAACAGCUCACUGAUCAAGCGAUCCUGCGCGGAAAAUGUAACGGGGCUAAAGCCGUUCGCCGAAGGUAUGGGUUUGCAGUUUACUGCAAGCGGUAGCGGAGCGUUCCG
This 226-nucleotide ribosomal RNA is filed under the name Prymnesium parvum. Its description in RNAcentral is "partial Bacterial large subunit ribosomal RNA". It matches the Rfam family "Bacterial large subunit ribosomal RNA", at positions 1017 to 1243 of the family's 2925-position model. The record is from RNAcentral. Lineage: Eukaryota; Haptophyta; Prymnesiales; Prymnesiaceae.